ACGCUAUCACUCCUACGGGGAGGCAGCAGUGGGGAAUAUUGCACAAUGGGGGGAAACCCUGAUGCAGCCAUGCCGCGUGUGUGAAAGAAGGCCUUCGGGGUUGUAAAAGCACUUUCAGUAGGGAGGAAGGUAGUGUAGUUAACACCUGCAUUAUUUGACGUUACCUACAGAAGAAGCACCGGCUAACUCCGUGCCAGCAGCCGCGGUAAUACGGAGGGUGCGAGCGUUAAUCGGAAUUACUGGGCGUAAAGCGCAUGCAGGCGGCCUGUUAAGUCAGAUGUGAAAGCCCGGGGCUUAACCUCGGAAUUGCAUUUGAAACUGGCAGGCUAGAGUCUUAGUNGAAGGGGGGGAUAGAAUUUCAGGUGUAGCGGUGAAAUGCGUAGAGAUCUGAAGGAAUACCAGUGGCGAAGGCGGCCCCCUGGACAGAUACUGACACUCAGAUGCGAAAGCGUGGGGAGCAAACAGGAUUAGAUACCCUGGUAG
This 483-nucleotide ribosomal RNA is filed under the name uncultured bacterium. Its description in RNAcentral is "bacterial SSU rRNA". It matches the Rfam family "Bacterial small subunit ribosomal RNA", at positions 326 to 793 of the family's 1533-position model. The record is from RNAcentral.